This is an RNA transcript of Octodon degus (degu), 529 nucleotides long. It is a transcript of the gene named intraflagellar transport protein 20 homolog pseudogene, with no coding region annotated. The transcript has a single exon. The record is from RefSeq and is a predicted model, not a curated record. NCBI's taxonomy places the organism in Eukaryota, Metazoa, Chordata, Mammalia, Rodentia, Octodontidae.
CGGCAAGGCGGGCAUCAUGUGGCAUUCAUCUCUGUACCCCCAGCAUCCAGCAGUGCUGGCAUGUAGUUGGCACUCAAGAAAUGUGUGUUGAAUGGAGGAUGUCUGUGCCAAGCAACUGGACUUUACUCUUUCCUGACCCUUGCUCCUAUGACACACCACCUCCUGACAGCCACUGUCACUCCUUCAGAGCAGAACUUCUCUAGGGAACCUUGAAGGGACACAGCUAUGGCCAAAGACACCCUGGGCGAAGCCGGCUUGCACUUUGAUGAGCUGAAGAAGCUGCAGGUGUUAGACCCAGAGGUUACACAGCAGACCACAGAGCUCAAGGAAGAGUGCAAGGAUUUUGUGGACAAAAUUGGCCAGUUUCAGAAAAUAGUUGGUGGUCUAAUUGAGCUUGUUGACCAACUUGCGAAAAAAGCAGAAAAUGAGAAGAUGAAGGCCAUUGGGGCUCGGAAUUUGCUCAAAUCUAUAGCAAAGUAGCGGAAAGCCCAGCAACAGCAACUUCAAGCAUUAAUAGCAGAAAAGAAAA